This 247-nucleotide ribosomal RNA is filed under the name uncultured bacterium. RNAcentral describes it as "partial 16S ribosomal RNA". It matches the Rfam family "Bacterial small subunit ribosomal RNA", at positions 524 to 768 of the family's 1533-position model. The record is from RNAcentral.
UACGAAGGGGGGCUAGCGUUGUUCGGAAUUACUGGGCGUAAAGCGCGCGCAGGCGGUCUUCCAAGUCAGUGGUGAAAGCCUGGAGCUCAACUCCAGAACUGCCAUUGAAACUGUUAGACUUGAGUACGAGAGAGGUGAGUGGAAUUCCCAGUGUAGAGGUGAAAUUCGUAGAUAUUGGGAAGAACACCAGUGGCGAAGGCGGCUCACUGGCCCGAUACUGACGCUGAGGCACGGAAAGCGUGGGGGA